Molecule: ribosomal RNA, 363 nt
Filed under: uncultured eukaryote
Lineage: Eukaryota
Description: partial 18S ribosomal RNA
Rfam family: Eukaryotic small subunit ribosomal RNA
Source: RNAcentral
CAAUAGCGUAUACUAAUGUUGUUGCAGUUAAAAAGCUCGUAGUUGAACUUCUGGUAGGAGUGUCCCGGCCUUUUUGUUUUUACAAAUUGUGUGCUGUGUGACAUCUCUGGCCAUCCUUCUUCUUUGUUUAAAGAAGAUCUUUCACUGUAAAAAAAUUAGGGUGUUCAAAGCAAAAGUUUCUUUGGAAUAUAUUAGUAUGGGAUGAUAAGAUAGGCUCUAGAUGCUAUUUUGUUGGUUUGCACAUUUAGAGAAUGAUUAACAGGGACAGUUGGGGGUAUUCGUAUUUACAUGUCAGAGGUGAAAUUCUUGGAUUUUGGAAAGACGAACUACUGCGAAAGCAUUUACCAAGGAUGUUUUCAUUAA